Molecule: long non-coding RNA, 779 nt
Organism: Benincasa hispida (wax gourd)
Lineage: Eukaryota; Viridiplantae; Streptophyta; Magnoliopsida; Cucurbitales; Cucurbitaceae
Source: RefSeq, a predicted model, not a curated record
GGGUUGGUUAUUUAAAAAAGGGGACAUCGGGAUGUGUGCAGUAAAAAAAAAAAAAGAAAAAGGGAAAAUCUUCUUCUUCUUCUCCUCCCAACUGACGCUUCCCUCUUCAAACCCUCUUCUCCCAUUCGGUUUUCUUCUUCUAGCCACAUGAGGAGCCCACCACCUAGCCAUAGCCGCCGUCGAUCGCGCACCAGGAGGCGUUGUCGUUCGUCUAGACCCAAAGUCAUCGACCAGGAGGCGUAGCUGCAUUCUUCUUCCAGGCCACGCCGUCCUUCCCAUUUGCCAGUCGUCGGCCUAAACCCAAGCGCUGUCCGCCAGUUUUGACGUGGACAGUUUUGGUUGUCGCAGGAUCACGGUUGUUUCCACCCGAUCUUUCUGUUUGGGGGCCUAUGAUGUUGUUGUGCACCUGUGUCCCGUGUCCCGUGUCCCGAUGGGAAGGCUGACAAAUCGCUGAGUGGGCCCAGUAGUGGGUCGCUUAUUGAGUAUACAUAUAUACUCACCUUUUUUUUUCUCUCGUGAUUUUCAGGUAAGGGCAAAGAUGUCUGGUGCCUGACAAGAGAGAUCUGUGACUUGGUCUUCCGCACUUAGGUUUCGUUUACUAGUGUCUAGUUUAGGAGUCAGACAUUUUAAAAUCCUAUGAAAUAUUCCUUGAUUUCAUUUAUUGAUUUGUUUAAUUGUUAUUUAUUUUAAAGUUGGGUUAGGGGUACCCCGAACAGUAUUUUCAAGAUUUCUCUUAUUUAUUUAUUUGCACUUUAUUUAAUGAAAUAAUUUUUUUUAUC